GGUCAAGCGAACAAGUGCAUGUGGUGGAUGCCUUGGCGAUCACAGGCGAUGAAGGACGCGGUAGCCUGCGAAAAGCCCCGGGGAGCUGGCAA
Molecule: ribosomal RNA, 92 nt
Filed under: Burkholderia multivorans
Lineage: Bacteria; Pseudomonadati; Pseudomonadota; Betaproteobacteria; Burkholderiales; Burkholderiaceae
Description: partial 23S ribosomal RNA
Rfam family: Bacterial large subunit ribosomal RNA
Source: RNAcentral